GAAAAGAAAAAGAAAGGGAAAGCUUAAGAAACAAAGAUUCGAAGGAAAGGAACCUUAUCAGAAGGAAUGUUUUUUUCUUUUUUUCUACUAUCAAAGCCAUCGUAGUGGAAAAGCAUGACUUUAUUAAAAGAACCAUGCCCGUGGUUUGGCUGCAGAAAGAAGAAUCCGGGAAAGGGGCGGAGCCGAUGCCUAUGAAGAAAAUAAAAAGGGACAAAAGCCUUAUCUACACACCACAUCCCGCACAUCUAUGGAGGUCCCACUCCCAACAUGAUGUUGUUGAUCAAAGUAAAGGACGCUUAGUAGGUGCAUUGGAGUUCAAGUUCAAUCUUUGUCCGGUAAUUUUGUCUAUUUACAUACCGAUGCAAUGAAUGUGAGCACAGGGUCCACUUCCACUGGUGGUGUGGUGCAAGAUCAAUUUGGAGACCAGAUUGUCAAGUUUAAUCAUAUUUUGGGUGAUUGUUUUGGUCUUUGAUGCUGAACUUUGAAGCAUUUAGGAUGGUUUACUCUCUUUAUAAGAAAAAGGAUAUGUUAAGACUUUAAUUCAAACAGAUUGCUUAGAAGCAGUUAAAGCUAUUCAAGAUGGCUAUUUGAGGACA
Molecule: long non-coding RNA, 596 nt
Organism: Gossypium raimondii (Peruvian cotton)
Lineage: Eukaryota; Viridiplantae; Streptophyta; Magnoliopsida; Malvales; Malvaceae
Exons: 2
Source: RefSeq, a predicted model, not a curated record